UACGGGGGGGGCAAGCGUUGUUCGGAAUUACUGGGCGUAAAGGGCGCGUAGGCGGUUUGCUAAGUUGAAUGUGAAAACUCUGGGCUUAACCCAGAGCCUGCAUUCAAUACUGGCGAGCUGGAGUUCUGGAGGGGAUAGCGGAAUUCCUGGUGUAGCGGUGAAAUGCGUAGAUAUCAGGAGGAACACCGGUGGCGAAGGCGGCUAUCUGGACAGAAACUGACGCUGAGGCGCGAAAGCUAGGGGAGCAAACAGG
RNAcentral lists this ribosomal RNA (253 nucleotides) under uncultured bacterium. RNAcentral's name for it is "partial 16S ribosomal RNA". It matches the Rfam family "Bacterial small subunit ribosomal RNA", at positions 524 to 776 of the family's 1533-position model. The record is from RNAcentral.